This 482-nucleotide ribosomal RNA is filed under the name uncultured bacterium. RNAcentral's name for it is "partial 16S ribosomal RNA". It matches the Rfam family "Bacterial small subunit ribosomal RNA", at positions 30 to 507 of the family's 1533-position model. The record is from RNAcentral.
AUUGAACGCUGGCGGCAUGCUCUACACAUGCAAGUCGAACGGUAACAGGCCGCAAGGUGCUGACGAGUGGCGAACGGGUGAGUAAUGCAUCGGAACGUGCCCAGUCGUGGGGGAUAACUACUCGAAAGAGUAGCUAAUACCUCAUACGAUCUAUGGAUGAAAGCGGGGGACCGUAAGGCCUCGCGCGAUUGGAGCGGCCGAUGUCAGAUUAGGUAGUUGGUGGGGUAAAGGCUCACCAAGCCAACGAUCUGUAGCUGGUCUGAGAGGACGACCAGCCACACUGGGACUGAGACACGGCCCAGACUCCUACGGGAGGCAGCAGUGGGGAAUUUUGGACAAUGGGCGCAAGCCUGAUCCAGCAAUGCCGCGUGCAGGAAGAAGGCCUUCGGGUUGUAAACUGCUUUUGUACGGAACGAAACGGCUCUGGUUAAUACCCGGGGCUAAUGACGGUACCGUAAGAAUAAGCACCGGCUAACUACGUG